GACGAAGGGGGCGGGCGUUAUCCAUGAUGACUGGGCGUAAAGAGUCCGUAGGCAGCUUUUCUAGUUAAAAGUAAAAUCAAAAAGCUUAACUUUUUGAGGCUUUUAAAACGUUAGAGCUUGGAGUUUGAAGGGAAAUAGUAGAAUUUCAUAUGGAGGGGUGAAAUCCGUAGAAUUAUGAAGGAAUACUAAUGGCGAAGGCGACUAUUUACUUCAAUCUGACGCUGAGGGACGAAAGCAUGGGGAGCAAACAGG
RNAcentral lists this ribosomal RNA (252 nucleotides) under uncultured bacterium. RNAcentral's name for it is "partial 16S ribosomal RNA". It matches the Rfam family "Bacterial small subunit ribosomal RNA", at positions 524 to 776 of the family's 1533-position model. The record is from RNAcentral.